GUGUCUUUAUUUUCUGUAAAAAGGGUCACGUAGUAGGUCAUGCACUUACUAGUGGAGGAAGCAGCUCUGAACCCCAACCCCAAGCUGCCCCUGCACCAGUUGCCCAACCUCAGGGAUAUCCACAGUACCAAGGUUACCAACAGUACCCUCAACAGAGUGGGCCCAGUGAACCUCAAGGACCUUGUGCCUGGGAAAUUAAACAGUUCUUGCAAUGUGCCCAAACACAGUCUGAUGUUUCUGUAUGUGAAGGCUUUAAUGAAGCAUUAAGGCAAUGCAAAGCACAGCACCAGAAUCAAAUGAUGGUUUAGUGUACUCCAGGAAAUGGAUGGCAGGGAGUCGUGAUGUGUUUUGUAUAGUACUGAUGAUAUAAAUUGUAACUCAAAAAUAUCUGAUAGUAUAACAAUGUCCAUAUUGUUUAGAGAAUGGAAUAACCUUGGCUCAUAUCUCAUAUUUUGUUUUAUCCAUCAAAAGUGCCCAGUAUGUUUAUGUAGUAUAUGCAUACUGGUUUAUAUGUUUUGCUGAUUCUGAGAAUCCCUGUUGGCUUUUUUUCCUUUGUACAUAAUCAGCCGCAUAAAUAUUACAUUGUACUUCAUAGGCCAUUGCUGUUUUUAAGUUAAAAGUAAUUUGUAAAAUAACUGAACUGUUAAUAAAUAUUUUAUGUAAUGUAUAAAA
Long non-coding RNA from Macrobrachium nipponense, 672 nucleotides. RefSeq lists it as uncharacterized. The record is from RefSeq and is a predicted model, not a curated record. The transcript is spliced from 3 exons. Lineage: Eukaryota; Metazoa; Arthropoda; Malacostraca; Decapoda; Palaemonidae.